This 492-nucleotide ribosomal RNA is filed under the name uncultured bacterium. Its description in RNAcentral is "partial 16S ribosomal RNA". It matches the Rfam family "Bacterial small subunit ribosomal RNA", at positions 29 to 507 of the family's 1533-position model. The record is from RNAcentral.
AGUGAACGCUGGCGGUAGGCCUAACACAUGCAAGUCGAACGGCAGCACAGUAAGAGCUUGCUCUUACGGGUGGCGAGUGGCGGACGGGUGAGGAAUACAUCGGAAUCUACUUUUUCGUGGGGGCUAACGUAGGGAAACUUACGCUAAUACCGCAUACGACCUACGGGUGAAAGCAGGGGAUCUUCGGACCUUGCGCGAUUGAAUGAGCCGAUGUCGGAUUAGCUAGUUGGCGGGGUAAAGGCCCACCAAGGCGACGAUCCGUAGCUGGUCUGAGAGGAUGAUCAGCCACACUGGAACUGGGACACGGUCCAGACUCCUACGGGAGGCAGCAGUGGGGAAUAUUGGACAAUGGGCGCAAGCCUGCUCCAGCCAUACCGCGUGGGUGAAGAAGGCCUUCGGGUUGUAAAGCCCUUUUGUUGGGAAAGAAAAGCAGCAGGUUAAUACCCCGCUGUUCUGACGGUACCCAAAGAAUAAGCACCGGCUAACUUCGUG